AGUGAACGCCGGCGGUAGGCCUAACACAUGCAAGUCGAACGGCAGCACAGGAGAGCUUGCUCUCUGGGUGGCGAGUGGCGGACAGGUGAGGAAUACAUCGGAAUCUACUCUGUCGUGGGGGAUAACGUAGGGAAACUUACGCUAAUACCGCAUACGACCUACGGGUGAAAGCAGGGGAUCUUCGGACCUUGCGCGAUUGAAUGAGCCGAUGUCGGAUUAGCUAGUUGGCGGGGUAAAGGCCCACCAAGGCGACGAUCCGUAGCUGGUCUGAGAGGAUGAUCAGCCACACUGGAACUGAGACACGGUCCAGACUCCUACGGGAGGCAGCAGUGGGGAAUAUUGGACAAUGGGCGCAAGCCUGAUCCAGCCAUACCGCGUGGGUGAAGAAGGCCUUCGGGUUGUAAAGCCCUUUUGUUGGGAAAGAAACCCAGCUGGCUAAUACCCGGUUGGGAUGACGGUACCCAAAGAAUAAGCACCGGCUAACUUCGUGCCAGCAGCCGCAGUAA
This 506-nucleotide ribosomal RNA is filed under the name uncultured bacterium. RNAcentral's name for it is "partial 16S ribosomal RNA". It matches the Rfam family "Bacterial small subunit ribosomal RNA", at positions 29 to 523 of the family's 1533-position model. The record is from RNAcentral.